UACAGAGGUCUCAAGCGUUGUUCGGAAUCACUGGGCGUAAAGGGUGCGUAGGCUGCGUGGAAAGUCAGAUGUGAAAUACGAAGGCUCAACCUUCGAAAUGCAUCCGAUACUACCAUGCUAGAGGUCUAAAGGGGAGCUUGGAAUUUUCGGUGUAGCAGUGAAAUGCGUAGAUAUCGAAAAGAACACUUGUGGCGAAGGCGAAGCUCUGGUUAGAAUCUGACGCCGAGGCACGAAGGCUAGGGUAGCAAACGGG
This 253-nucleotide ribosomal RNA is filed under the name uncultured bacterium. RNAcentral's name for it is "partial 16S ribosomal RNA". It matches the Rfam family "Bacterial small subunit ribosomal RNA", at positions 524 to 776 of the family's 1533-position model. The record is from RNAcentral.